RNAcentral lists this ribosomal RNA (293 nucleotides) under uncultured bacterium. RNAcentral's name for it is "partial 16S ribosomal RNA". The record is from RNAcentral.
GGACUACCAGGGUAUCUAAUCCUGUUUGCUACCCACGCUUUCGCUCCUCAGCGUCAAUACUGGCCCAGAGCACCGCCUUCGCCACCGGUGUUCCUCCUGAUAUCUGCGCAUUUCACCGCUACACCAGGAAUUCCGUGCUCCCCUACCAGAUUCAAGCCACAGCAGUAUCGGAUGGCGUCUCGGGGUUGAGCCCCGAGUUUUCACAUCCGACUAACUGAGCCGCCUACGAGCUCUUUACGCCCAAUAAAUCCGGACAACGCUCGGACCCUACGUAUUACCGCGGCUGCUGGCAC